UACGUAGGUGGCAAGCGUUGUCCGGAUUUAUUGGGUUUAAAGGGUGCGUAGGCGGUCUAUUAAGUCAGCGGUGAAAUACUCCAGCUUAACUGGAGGGGUGCCAUUGAUACUGAUGGACUUGAGUCAAGUCGAGGUAGGCGGAAUUGACGGUGUAGCGGUGAAAUGCUUAGAUAUCGUCAAGAACACCAAUAGUGAAGACAGCUUACUGGGCUGAAACUGACGCUGAGGCACGAAAGUGUGGGGAUCAAACAGG
This 253-nucleotide ribosomal RNA is filed under the name uncultured bacterium. RNAcentral describes it as "partial 16S ribosomal RNA". It matches the Rfam family "Bacterial small subunit ribosomal RNA", at positions 524 to 776 of the family's 1533-position model. The record is from RNAcentral.